GCGGGGCUACCCGCUGAGUUUAAGCAUAUC
Molecule: ribosomal RNA, 30 nt
Filed under: Tripodanthus flagellaris
Lineage: Eukaryota; Viridiplantae; Streptophyta; Magnoliopsida; Santalales; Loranthaceae
Description: partial 28S ribosomal RNA
Source: RNAcentral